UACGUAGGGUGCAAGCGUUAAUCGGAAUUACUGGGCGUAAAGCGUGCGCAGGCGGUGAUGUAAGACAGGUGUGAAAUCCUCGGGCUUAACCUGGGAACUGCAUUUGUGACUGCAUCGCUGGAGUGCGGCAGAGGGGGGAUGGAAUUCCGCGUGUAGCAGUGAAAUGCGUAGAUAUGCGGAGGAACACCGAUGGCGAAGGCAAUCCCCUGGGCCUGCACUGACGCUCAUGCACGAAAGCGUGGGGAGCAAACAGG
RNAcentral lists this ribosomal RNA (254 nucleotides) under uncultured bacterium. RNAcentral's name for it is "partial 16S ribosomal RNA". It matches the Rfam family "Bacterial small subunit ribosomal RNA", at positions 524 to 776 of the family's 1533-position model. The record is from RNAcentral.